This 460-nucleotide ribosomal RNA is filed under the name uncultured bacterium. RNAcentral describes it as "partial 16S ribosomal RNA". It matches the Rfam family "Bacterial small subunit ribosomal RNA", at positions 338 to 795 of the family's 1533-position model. The record is from RNAcentral.
CCUACGGGAGGCAGCAGUGAGGAAUCUUGGUCAAUGGACGAGAGUCUGAACCAGCCAAGUAGCGUGAAGGAUGACUGCCCUAUGGGUUGUAAACUUCUUUUAUAUGGGAAUAAAAUGUUCCACGUGUCGGAAUUUGUAUGUACCGUAUGAAUACGGAUCGGCUAACUCCGUGCCAGCAGCCGCGGUAAUACGGAGGAUCCGAGCGUUAUCCGGAUUUAUUGGGUUUAAAGGGAGCGUAGGUGGAUUGUUAAGUCAGUUGUGAAAGUGUGCGGCUCAACCGUAAAAUUGCAGUUGAAACUGGCAGUCUUGAGUGCAGUAGAGGUGGGCGGAAUUCGUGGUGUAGCGGUGAAAUGCGUAGAUAUCACGAAGAACUCCGAUUGCGAAGGCAGCUCACUGGACUGCAACUGACACUGAGGCUCGAAAGUGUGGGGAUCAAACAGGAUUAGAUACCCCAGUAGUC